Molecule: ribosomal RNA, 468 nt
Filed under: uncultured bacterium
Lineage: Bacteria
Description: partial 16S ribosomal RNA
Rfam family: Bacterial small subunit ribosomal RNA
Source: RNAcentral
GACGAACGCUGGCGGCGUGCUUAACACAUGCAAGUCGAACGGAAAGGCCCUGCUUUUGUGGGGUGCUCGAGUGGCGAACGGGUGAGUAACACGUGAGUAACCUGCCCUUGACUUUGGGAUAACUUCAGGAAACUGGGGCUCUUAUCGGAUAGGAGCUCUUGCUGCAUGGUGGGGGUUGGAAAGUUUCGGCGGUUGGGGAUGGAAUCGCGGCUUAUCCGCUUGUUGGUGGAGUAGUGGCUUACCAAGGUUGUGACGGCUAGCCGGCCUGGGAGGGGGACCGGCCACAUGGGGACUGAGAGAGGGACCAGACGCCUACGGGAGGCAGCAGUGGAGAAUAUUGCACAAUGGGCGGAAGCCAGAGGCAGCAACGCCGGGUGCGGGAUGACGGCCUUCGGGGGGUAAACCGCUUUCGCCUGUGACGAAGCGGUAGUGACGGUAAUGGGUAAAGAAGCACCGGCUAACUACGUG